GGUGGCUCAGCGGUAGAGCGAUUGCCUUGCAUGCAUGAAGCCCUGGGUUCGAUUCCUCAGCACCA
This 65-nucleotide transfer RNA is filed under the name Dipodomys ordii (Ord's kangaroo rat). It matches the Rfam family "tRNA". Rfam says of the family: Transfer RNA (tRNA) molecules are approximately 80 nucleotides in length. Their secondary structure includes four short double-helical elements and three loops (D, anti-codon, and T loops). Lineage: Eukaryota; Metazoa; Chordata; Mammalia; Rodentia; Heteromyidae. The record is from Rfam by way of RNAcentral.